RNAcentral lists this long non-coding RNA (808 nucleotides) under Marmota monax (woodchuck). Lineage: Eukaryota; Metazoa; Chordata; Mammalia; Rodentia; Sciuridae. The record is from RNAcentral.
GCACAAGUGAGCAUGUGUACAUGUAUGGCUAUGAGCAUGCUUCUGUGCACGUGUUUGUACAUGUGUGUGCAAGGGAGGGGCCACCAGAGAGAGCAUGGGGUCCUGAGUGUCCAGGUCCUGGAGCCGUCUGUGCACCUCACAGAGAGAAGCACGGACCACAGCCCUGUGUUGUCCUAGGAAGCUGGGUGCUGGAUGGGAACUCUGUGGCAGCCUGCCCCCAGGGAGGCUCUCAUCUGUGCCACGAGGCCCUCCUCACGGCCACUGGGUCACACUAGCUACUUCAUCAAGUCUUUGGAGACCUUCAGGUAUUGGUCACAUCUGCAGGCCUGGGAUAGCUUGCUCCUGUAGCUGUGGGUACGGUCAGGGGCUUCACAGAGACAGGUAAUGGUCCCCAAUUUUGUCCCAUCUGUGGACCUGUGGGGGCAGGCCACAUCACUCUCUGGGAGCCUUCCUGCCUGUGCCACGGUGGCCUCCUCUUUUUCCUAAGGCCCUGUGGACUCUUCCAGACCCAGAGCCUGGAGGGCAGAGCCAGGCCUGGUUCUCUGGCCAGCUCUGCUCAGGCAUGGGAUGCAGGGUCAGGGUAGGUGCCUUGUCCAUUUCAGAGUCCACAUUUCCCUCUGACACCUCAGAGGCCCCCAGCAGGGCCCCAAAGCCCACAGGGGUCAGGAGCAAAACCUCUUUGGCCUCUACAUGGAGACUUCAUUCAGGACAGGCAAUGGGCUCCCACCCCAUUGAAGUGGUCUCUGAGGUUAACCAUGCAGGGAGGGGCUCAGCUCAGCGAUCCUGGGGGAGGGAGGUCAGGACUGGC